AACGCACAUUGCGCCCUUUGGUAUUCCAAAGGGCAUGCCUGUUCGAGCGUCAUUUGUACCCUCAAGCCUUGCUUGGUGUUGGGCGUCUUUUGUCUCCAGUUCGCUGGAGACUCGCCUUAAAGUCAUUGGCAGCCGGCCUACUGGUUUCGGAGCGCAGCACAAGUCGCGCUCUUUGCCAGCCAAGGUCAGCGUCCAGCAAGCCUUUUUUUCAACCUUUGACCUCGGAUCAGGUAGGGAUACCCGCUGAACUUAA
Molecule: unclassified non-coding RNA, 253 nt
Filed under: uncultured Alternaria
Lineage: Eukaryota; Fungi; Ascomycota; Dothideomycetes; Pleosporales; Pleosporaceae
Description: sequence contains ITS2
Rfam family: 5.8S ribosomal RNA (bases 1-52)
Source: RNAcentral